UACGUAGGGUGCGAGCGUUAAUCGGAAUUACUGGGCGUAAAGCGUGCGUAGGCGGUCCGCGAAGUCUGAUGUGAAAGCCCCGGGCUCAACCGUGGAGGGUCAUUGGAAACUGGGAGACUUGAGUGCAGAAGAGGAGAGUGGAAUUCCACGUGUAGCGGUGAAAUGCGUAGAGAUGUGGAGGAACACCAGUGGCGAAGGCGACUCUCUGGUCUGUAACUGACGCUGAGGAGCGAAAGCGUGGGGAGCAAACAGG
This 253-nucleotide ribosomal RNA is filed under the name uncultured bacterium. RNAcentral's name for it is "partial 16S ribosomal RNA". It matches the Rfam family "Bacterial small subunit ribosomal RNA", at positions 524 to 776 of the family's 1533-position model. The record is from RNAcentral.